UGGUGGGUUGCCUUGUCAGGUUGAUUCCGGUAACGAACGAGACCUCAGCCUGCUAAAUAGUCGCAUCCUCCUCGGGGGAUGUCUGGCUUCUUAGAGGGACUAUUGACGUUUAGUCAAUGGAAGUAUGAGGCAAUAACA
This 138-nucleotide ribosomal RNA is filed under the name uncultured eukaryote. RNAcentral's name for it is "partial 18S ribosomal RNA". It matches the Rfam family "Eukaryotic small subunit ribosomal RNA", at positions 1299 to 1458 of the family's 1831-position model. The record is from RNAcentral.